This 93-nucleotide small RNA is filed under the name Borreliella afzelii K78. Its description in RNAcentral is "small RNA DsrA". The record is from RNAcentral. Lineage: Bacteria; Pseudomonadati; Spirochaetota; Spirochaetia; Spirochaetales; Borreliaceae.
GAUAAAAAGAAGUAAAUAAAAUUUAAUAUUAGCUGUAAAUUUAAUUAAAUAAGGAGAAUAAUUUGUAUAUUUAAAUGAUUUUAUGGUUUAAGG